GUCAAAGAUUGCCACAGCCGUGAAGGACAGCCUGGCAUCCGAAUGUUCCGUUUUCCCGGCCAGCCGUGGGAGAAAGAACGGCGGAGAAAAUGGAUUGUUGCCGUUCGGCGAGUGAAUGAGUGUGACGGCUCUGCUUGGAUCCCAAGUGAUGCAGCAAGGGUGUGCUCAAAGCACUUCGUCAACGGCGAAAAGAGCAACAUUGCUGCACAUCCAGGCUACUACCCUACCAUUUUUCCAGAUGCAUACAAGUCCCGUCCUGUGGACGCAGAAAGAGCACUGUCAAGAUAUGAACGAUGGAACAGAAGGGCAUCUGCUGCAAGGCCGGCAAAUCCUCAACACACAAG
Rhipicephalus sanguineus (brown dog tick) is the source of this 344-nucleotide long non-coding RNA. RefSeq lists it as uncharacterized. The transcript has 3 exons. The record is from RefSeq and is a predicted model, not a curated record. Lineage: Eukaryota; Metazoa; Arthropoda; Arachnida; Ixodida; Ixodidae.